RNAcentral lists this long non-coding RNA (2179 nucleotides) under Ananas comosus (pineapple). RNAcentral's name for it is "long non-coding RNA (ACOM_LNC020669)". Lineage: Eukaryota; Viridiplantae; Streptophyta; Magnoliopsida; Poales; Bromeliaceae. The record is from RNAcentral.
GUAUUGGUUGGAUUGAUAACAUAGUUAGUUAAUUUGUAAAUUAUUCAUAAAUUAUUGAAAAUUCGAAUAAAAUAGUCUAUAUGCGAUUUAUUUCUAAAAAUUCAGAAUAAAAUGCAAAUUUUUUUAUUAGAUUUAUUAUUCGCGAAUAAUUCGCGUAUUCUGAACUAUUCGGCCAAAAAAACGCACAAAAUUUUUGAAUAAAAUUUCUUUUCGGAUUAUUGCCGAAUUAUUCACGAAUUAGUUGCGAAUUAUUGAAAAACUUCAAGAACUUCCGGAAUUUGUGGAUCAUGAAAAAGAUGAAGAAGGAGAUGAUAAUAAAAUUUGCUAUUGCUUUUUUUACUUAAUUUGCUUUAUUUUGUAAACUCUCUAUUGUUAUAUUCUUAAGAAUUUAUAACUAUAUAUACUGGUAACAUAAAUUAAGAGAAAAAAGAUUAGUUUAAUGGCUGAAUUUUUUAUCGUGAAUUUUUAAUUGGUUAACGUAUAAUUUUCAUAUAAAUCGCGUAUCCGAAUAAUUGGCGAAUUCGUUUUUUAAGCUGUAUUUUUCAACGAAUUUAAAAAUUAAGAUACAAAUUUUAUUCGAAUUAUAAUAGUACUAAAUUUUUGCCGAAUCCGAAUUAACUAACUAUGGUUGGGAACCAACACUAACUAAUUAACCUUCAUAAAAUACCAAUAUCCAUAUGUACUUAAUCUGUAGCAUAGUUAGUUAAUUUAAGGGGCAAUUGCCUAUAUACCCCUGAAAAGUUCCCGAUUUUCUUAUUUACCCCUCUUAGAAGGCUAAUAUUGAAAAUACCCUUCUUAUGUUCCAAGUUUUUCUAAAAUACCCCUAGAGUUAAGUUCCGUUAGUGAGCUGCCGUUAGCUCUGAAAAAUUACCAUUUUGCCCAUUCCAAUAUACCCUUGUACCGUAACAAACUUUUCUUAUAUACCCUUCAUAUAGCAAAUACUUUUCUUAUUUACCCUUCAGCCGGAUCCGGAGCAGAAGGCGUGCAGGGGUCCGAUGGAGCUGCGGCCCUCUUGCUCCUGGCGCCGGCCAAGGCAGCGGAUGAGGAGAAGGACGACGAGAGCGGCGAGAGAUGGGAUCGUCGCUGCGGCCCUCUUGCUCCCGGCGCCGGCCAAGGCGGCGGAGGAAGAGGACGACGGCGACGACGAGAGCGGCGGCGGAGGAGGACAACGAGAGCGACGAGAUGGGUGGUGUUGGAGGUGGAGGUGUGGGAGGUGGUGGUGGUCUGGGAGGAGAUGAGGCGAGGAGGUGAGGAAGAGGCGGAGGAGCCGGCCGGUGGUGGCGGAGGAGUCGGCCGGUGGUGGCGACAAAAUUGGGGAAGAAAGAGAGGAUAAUCUUAGGGAUUACUAUAAUAAAGUAGGGGCAAAAUAGGUAUUUUGUUCAGGUUUUAACUCUAGUAUAGAUUUAACCCAUGUUUAACCCGAGUUAAGCUAACAGGGGAUAACUGCGGGGGUAUUUUGGAAUAACGGUGGAACGUAUGAGGGACAUUUUAGAAAGAAAAAAAAAGUAGGGGUAGAUCGAAUAUUUCCGGAUGCAUGAAGGGUAUAUAGGCAAUUAUCCCUUAAUUUAAAUUGGGCAACAAUUUGGUACCGGUAUAAUAUGAAUUAAAUUUGUAUUCUAAUUUUUAAAUUCGUUAAAAGAAACGGCUUAAAAAACAGGUUUGCCAAUUAUUCGAAUACACAAUUUAUGCAGAAAUUAUACAUUCACCAAUUAAAACUUCGGAACAAAAAAUUCAGCUAUUAAAUUAAGUUUUUUUUUUUCUUCUAAAUUUAUGCUACUAGUACAAAUAAUUAAGAAUUAUAAAUUAAGUUUUUUUCUAGAUUUAUGCUACUAGUAUAAAUAAUUAUAAAUUCUUAAGUCUAUAAAAAUAGAGAGCUAUAAAAUAAAGUAGAUUAAGUAAAAAAAGCAAUAGCAAAAUUCAUUGUCGUCCAAAAGUUCAUAAAGUUUUUCAAUAAUCCGUGAAUAAUUCGCAAAUAAUUUGGCAAUAAUUCAGAAAUAAUGGAGAAAGGAAUUUUAUCCAAAAAUUCUAUGCGUUUUUGUUGGCCGAAUAAUUUGGCAUGCGUGAAUUAUUCGCGAAUAAUUAAUCUGGUCCAAAAAUUUGUGUUUAUUCUAAUUUUUUUUUGGAAUAAAUCGCAUACAGACUUUUUUAUUUGGGCUUUCAAAAAUUCACGAAUAAUUUA